RNAcentral lists this ribosomal RNA (418 nucleotides) under uncultured anaerobic ammonium-oxidizing bacterium. RNAcentral describes it as "bacterial SSU rRNA". It matches the Rfam family "Bacterial small subunit ribosomal RNA", at positions 383 to 810 of the family's 1533-position model. The record is from RNAcentral.
GUGAUCGAGCGACGCCGCGUGGAGGAUGAAGGCCUUCGGGUUGUAAACUCCUGUCGAGGGGGAGGAAGGCGCAAGCUUGACCGAUCCCUGGAGGAAGCACGGGCUAAGUUCGUGCCAGCAGCCGCGGUAAGACGAACCGUGCGAACGUUAUUCGGAAUCACUGGGCUUAAAGCGCGUGUAGGCGGAUCGGCGCAUCGAUGGCUGAAAGCCCCCGGCUCAACCGGGGAAGGGGCGUCGAGAUGGCCGGUCUCGAGGGGGGUAGGGGGACCUGGAACUUCCGGUGGAGCGGUGAAAUGCGUUGAGAUCGGAAGGAACGCCCGUGGCGAAAGCGAGGUCCUGGACCCCUUCUGACGCUGAGACGCGAAAGCCAGGGGAGCAAACGGGAUUAGAUACCCCGGUAGUCCUGGCCGUAAACGAU